UGCGUAGGCGGAUAAAUAAGUCAGUGGUGAAAUCUUUCGGCUCAACCGGGAAACUGCCAUUGAUACUGUUUAUCUUGAGUUCGGCAGAGGUAGGCGGAAUGUGUAAUGUAGCGGUGAAAUGCUUAGAUAUUACACAGAACACCAAUUGCGUAGGCAGCUUACUAUACCGACACUGACGCUGAGGCACGAAAGCGUGGGGAGCGAACAGGAUUAGAUACCCUGGUAGUC
RNAcentral lists this ribosomal RNA (228 nucleotides) under uncultured bacterium. RNAcentral describes it as "partial 16S ribosomal RNA". It matches the Rfam family "Bacterial small subunit ribosomal RNA", at positions 568 to 795 of the family's 1533-position model. The record is from RNAcentral.